This 75-nucleotide transfer RNA is filed under the name marine sediment metagenome. RNAcentral describes it as "tRNA-Leu". It matches the Rfam family "tRNA". Rfam says of the family: Transfer RNA (tRNA) molecules are approximately 80 nucleotides in length. Their secondary structure includes four short double-helical elements and three loops (D, anti-codon, and T loops). Further hydrogen bonds mediate the characteristic L-shaped molecular structure. tRNAs have two regions of fundamental functional importance: the anti-codon, which is responsible for specific mRNA codon recognition, and the 3' end, to which the tRNAs corresponding amino acid is attached (by aminoacyl-tRNA synthetases). tRNAs cope with the degeneracy of the genetic code in two manners: having more than one tRNA (with a specific anti-codon) for a particular amino acid; and 'wobble' base-pairing, i.e. permitting non-standard base-pairing at the 3rd anti-codon position. The record is from RNAcentral.
GCUCCCGUAGCUCAAUUGGUAGAGCACCGAGUCUAAGCAACUCGGGGGCUGCAGGUUCAAGUCCUGCCGGGAGUU